AUCUGGUCAGAAUAAAACCCAGGGAUUCCGGAAGGCAAUUUCCUGCCAUUUCGCCAGUGCCGAUUGCCACUACAUUGACGUGAAGGGCACCAGUCAAGAAAACAUCGAGAAGGAAGUUGUAGGAAUAGCACAUAAAUUCUUUGGAGCUGAAAAUAGCGUGAACUUGAAGGAUAUUUGGAUGUUUCGAGCUCGACUUGUGAAAGGAGAAAGAACCAAUCUUUGAAAUAGCCAUCUGCUAUAACUCUUUCAACAGAAAACCAAAACCAAACGAAAUGUCUAAGGAAAAUGUUUUCUUAAUGAGAUGAUGUAACCUUUUCUAUCACUUGUUAAAAGCAGAAAACAUGUAUCAGGUACUUAAUUGCAUAGAGUUAGUUUUGCAGCACAAUGGUGUUGCUUUAAUGGAAAAAAAAAACAGUAAAAGUGAAAUAUUACUGUUUUAAGGAAAACUAAUUUAGGGUGGCAGCCAAUAAAGGUGGUUGGUGUCUAAUUUAAGUGUUAAAUCAAUUUCUUUCAUUCAGUUAGCUCUUUACCCAAGAAGAAGUGAAUGAUUUGGAGCUUAGGGUAUGUUUUGUAUCCCCUUUCUGAUAAACCCAUUCCCUACCAAUUUUAUGUCAUAAGAGAUUUUUUUCCCCCAAAUCUAGAACAAUGUAUAAUACAUUCACAUCUAGUCAAGGGCAUAGGAACGGUGUCAUGGAGUCCAAAUAAAGUGGAUAUUCCUG
This 719-nucleotide long non-coding RNA is filed under the name Homo sapiens (human). RNAcentral's name for it is "HSALNT0159113". Lineage: Eukaryota; Metazoa; Chordata; Mammalia; Primates; Hominidae. The record is from RNAcentral.